CAGUAGCAAUACAAUGGUAGCUCCCACAGAUGGCAAUCCUGAUAAUAAGCCCAUUAAAGAGAAUAUUGAAGAGAGCUAUGUGCACCUGGACAUUUACAGUGGACUAAACAGUCAUUUGAAUCGGCAACAUCACAGACUAGAAUCCCGAUACAGUAGCAGCUCUGGAGGAUCUUAUGAAGAAGAAAAAAGUGAUUCAAUGCCACUUUAUUCUAAUUGGCGACUGAAAGUGAUGGAGCAUAACCAAGGAGAGCCACUGCCCUUCCCACCAGCUGGAGGCUGCUGGUCACCACUGGUGGAUUACGUGCCUGAAACGUCAUCACCUGGAUUACCUCUUCACAGGUGUAACAUAGCAGUGAUCCUUUUGACUGAUCUCAUCAUUGAUCAUAGUGUGAAGGUGGAAUGGGGAAGCUACCUCCAUCUUCUUCUUCAUGCAAUUUUUAUAGGGUUUGACCACUGCCACCCUGAGGUGUAUGAACAUUGUAAACGCCUGCUUCUGCACUUAUUAAUAGUAAUGGGACCCAAUAGUAACAUCCGAACUGUUGCUUCUGUCCUUCUCAGGAACAAGGAGUUUAAUGAGCCCAGGGUGCUUACAGUCAAACAAGUUGCACACUUAGAUUAUAAUUUCACAGGUAUUUGCUUUAAAAGUACAAUUUGAAAGUAGAAUUAUACUUUAUUAAUUUGGAAUCCUGCAUUAGAGAAAGUCAACUGAAUAAAAGUUGAAAUACUAGAGAACAUUUUAAAAA
This 743-nucleotide small RNA is filed under the name Pongo abelii (Sumatran orangutan). RNAcentral describes it as "retained intron". Lineage: Eukaryota; Metazoa; Chordata; Mammalia; Primates; Hominidae. The record is from RNAcentral.